RNAcentral lists this ribosomal RNA (449 nucleotides) under Apocheima cinerarius. RNAcentral's name for it is "12S ribosomal RNA". Lineage: Eukaryota; Metazoa; Arthropoda; Insecta; Lepidoptera; Geometridae. The record is from RNAcentral.
UUGAUCUUUCUAGAAACACUUUCCAGUACCUCUACUUUGUUACGACUUAUUUCAAUUUAUCUAUGAAAGCGACGGGCAAUAUGUACAUAUUUUAAUUUUUAAUCAUUUUAAUAAAUUAAAUAAAAUUACAUUUAAAUCCACCUUUAUUUAAAUAUUACAAAAUAAAAUCCAUUUAAAUAAAUUUAUUGUAAUCCAUUAUAUUCUUAAUUAUAAUCUGCAUCUUGAUUUGAUUUAAUUUUUAAUUAUUAAUUUUAAAAUAUUAUUAAUUAUUAAAAAAUAUUUUUUUAACAACGAUAUACAAAAUAAUAAAUUAAGUAAAUUUAUUCGUGGAUUAUCAAUUAAUAAACAGAUUCCUCUAAAUAAACUAAAAUACCGCCAAAACAUUUAAGUUUCAAUAAAUAAUUAUAUACUAUUUUAGUAUUUUUAAAUUUAAAUUUUAAAUAAUAGGG